RNAcentral lists this ribosomal RNA (434 nucleotides) under uncultured bacterium. RNAcentral's name for it is "partial 16S ribosomal RNA". It matches the Rfam family "Bacterial small subunit ribosomal RNA", at positions 29 to 507 of the family's 1533-position model. The record is from RNAcentral.
AGCGAACGCUGGCGGCAGGCCUAACACAUGCAAGUCGAACGAACCUUUCGGGGUUAGUGGCGUACGGGUGAGUAACACGUGGGAACGUGCCUUUAGGUACGGCAUAACUCAGGGAAACUUGUGCUAAUACCGAAUGUGCCCUUAGGGGGGAAGAUUUAUCGCCUUUAGAGCGGCCCGCGUCUGAUUAGCUAGUUGGUUGAGGUAAUGGUACACCAAGGCGACGAUCAGUAGCUGGUCUGAGAGGAUGAUCCGCCACACUGGGACUGAGACACGGCCCAAACUCCUACGGGAGGCAGCAGUGGGGAAUCUUGCGCAGUGGGCGAAAGCCUGACGCUGCCAUGCCGCGUGAAUGAUGAAGGUCUUAGGAUGGUAAAAUUCUUUCACCGGGGACGAUAAUGACGGUACCCGGAGAAGAAGCCCCGGCUAACUUCGUG